GACGAACGCUGGCGGCGUGCUUAACACAUGCAAGUCGAACGGAAAGGCCCUGCUUUUGUGGGGUGCUCGAGUGGCGAACGGGUGAGUAACACGUGAGUAACCUGCCCUUGACUUUGGGAUAACUUCAGGAAACUGGGGCUAAUACCGGAUAGGAGCUCCUGCUGCAUGGUGGGGGUUGGAAAGUUUGGGCGGUUGGGGAUGGACUCGCGGCUUAUCAGCUUGUUGGUGGGGUAGUGGCUUACCAAGGCUUUGACGGGUAGCCGGCCGGAGAGGGUGACCGGCCACAUUGGGACUGAGAUACGGCCCAGACUCCUACGGGAGGCAGCAGUGGGGAAUAUUGCACAAUGGGCGGAAGCCUGAUGCAGCAACGCCGCGUGCGGGAUGACGGCCUUCGGGUUGUAAACCGCUUUCGCCUGUGACGAAGCGUGAGUGACGGUAAUGGGUAAAGAAGCACCGGCUAACUACGUG
RNAcentral lists this ribosomal RNA (468 nucleotides) under uncultured bacterium. RNAcentral's name for it is "partial 16S ribosomal RNA". It matches the Rfam family "Bacterial small subunit ribosomal RNA", at positions 28 to 507 of the family's 1533-position model. The record is from RNAcentral.